RNAcentral lists this microRNA (21 nucleotides) under Oryza sativa (Asian cultivated rice). RNAcentral describes it as "osa-miR6251". The record is from miRBase by way of RNAcentral. Lineage: Eukaryota; Viridiplantae; Streptophyta; Magnoliopsida; Poales; Poaceae.
UGUGUAGCCACAUUGUAAGGG